UGAAGCGGAAGUAAAAUUCCGUGGAGGACCGAACCACGUUGGUGUUGAAAAACCAUGGGAUGAGCUGUGGAUAGCGGAGAAAUUCCAAUCGAACUCGGAGAUAGCUGGUUCUCCUCGAAAUAGCUUUAGGGCUAGCGUCGGAAAUGAGUAAUGGAGGUAGAGCACUGAAUGGGGUAGGGGCUGACAACAGUUACUGAACCUUAUCAAACUCCGAAUGCCAUAUACUUGAAUUCCGGCAGUCAGACUGCGAAUGAUAAGAUCCGUGGUCAAAAGGGAAACAGCCCAGACCACCAGCUAAGGUCCCAAAGUGUAAGUUAAGUGGGAAAGGAUGUGUGAUUUCUAAGACAACUAGGAUGUUGGCUCAGAAGCAGCCACUCAUUUAAAGAGUGCGUAAUAGCUCACUAGUCAAGAGAUCAUGCGCCGAAAAUGUCCGGGGCUAAAACUUACCACCGAAGCUGUGGACUCGAAAGAGUGGUAGAGGAGCAUCCUGUAUGAGUUGAAGUUGUACCGGAAGGAACAGUGGAUUGUACAGGAGAGAGAAUGCUGGCAUAAGUAGCGAGAAAUAAGUGAGAAUCUUAUUGGUCGAAAACCUAAGGUUUCCUGGGGAAGGUUCGUCCGCCCAGGGUAAGUCGGGACCUAAGCCGAGGCCGAAAGGCGUAGGUGAUGGACAAUCGGUUGAAAUUCCGAUACCGCAUAAAAGCGUUUGACAAAAGGGAUGACGCAGGAGGAUAAGGUGUGCAUACAAAUGGAUGUAUGUCUAAGCACCGAGUCAGGUAUACCAGGAAAAUCCGGUAUAUCAAUGAUGAGGUGUGAUGGGGAACCCGCAAGGGGAAGUACCUGAUUUCACGCUGCCGAGAAAAGUCUCUAUGGAGCUUUUAUGUGCCCGUACCGCAAACCGACACAGGUAGGUGAGGAGAGAAUCCUAAGACCAUCGGAAGAAUUGUUGUUAAGGAACUAGGCAAAUUAACUCCGUAACUUAGGGAGAAGGAGAGCCACGCAAGUGGCCGCAGAGAAAAGGCUCAAGCAACUGUUUAUCAAAAACACAGGUUUCUGCUAAAGCGAAAGCUGAAGUAUAGGAGCUGACGCCUGCCCGGUGCUGGAAGGUUAAGGGGAAGACUUAGCGCAAGCGAAGGUCAGAACUUAAGCCCCAGUAAACGGCGGCCGUAACUAUAACGGUCCUAAGGUAGCGAAAUUCCUUGUCGGGUAAGUUCCGACCCGCACGAAUGGCGUAAUGAUUUGAGCACUGUCUCGACAACAAAUCCGGCGAAAUUGAAGUGCAAGUGAAGAUGCUUGCUACCCGCGAUUGGACGGAAAGACCCCGUAGAGCUUUACUGCAGUUUAGCACUGAAUUUCGGUAUUGUCUGUACAGGAUAGGUGGGAGACUAGGAAGUAGUGGCGCCAGCCAUUACCGAGUCGAUGUUGGGAUACCACCCUGACAGUACUGGAAUUCUAACCGGGCUCCAUGAAACUGGAGACGGGACAAUGUUAGGCGGGCAGUUUGACUGGGGCGGUCGCCUCCUAAAAAGUAACGGAGGCGUACAAAGGUUCCCUCAGAAGGGUUAGAAAUUCUUCGAAGAGUGCAAAGGCAGAAGGGAGCUUGACUGCGACACAAACAAGUGGAGCAGGGACGAAAGUCGGGCUUAGUGAUCCGGUGGUACCUCGUGGGAGGGCCAUCGCUCAACGGAUAAAAGCUACCUCGGGGAUAACAGGCUGAUCUCCCCCAAGAGUUCACAUCGACGGGGAGGUUUGGCACCUCGAUGUCGGCUCGUCGCAUCCUGGGGCUGAAGUAGGUCCCAAGGGUUGGGCUGUUCGCCCAUUAAAGCGGCACGCGAGCUGGGUUCAGAACGUCGUGAGACAGUUCGGUCCCUAUCCGUCGCGGGCGCAGGAAAUUUGAGAGGAGCUGUCCUUAGUACGAGAGGACCGGGAUGGACCGACCGCUGGUGAACCAGUUGUUCCGCCAGGAGCAUAGCUGGGUAGCCAAGUUGGGAAGGGAUAAACGCUGAAAGCAUCUAAGUGUGAAGCCCACCUCAAGAUAAGAU
This 2039-nucleotide ribosomal RNA is filed under the name Clostridium ragsdalei P11. RNAcentral's name for it is "bacterial LSU rRNA". It matches the Rfam family "Bacterial large subunit ribosomal RNA", at positions 746 to 2810 of the family's 2925-position model. The record is from RNAcentral. Lineage: Bacteria; Bacillati; Bacillota; Clostridia; Eubacteriales; Clostridiaceae.